AAUGAAACGCUGGCGGCGUGCCUAACACAUGCAAGUCGAGCGAUUCUCUUCGGAGAAGAGCGGCGGACGGGUGAAUAACGCGUGGGUAACCUGCCCUGUACACACGGAUAACAUACCGAAAGGUAUGCUAAUACGAGAUAAUAUGCUUUUAUCGCAUGGUAGAAGUAUCAAAGCUUUUGCGGUACAGGAUGGACCCGCGUCUGAUUAGCUAGUUGGUAAGGUAACGGCUUACCAAGGCGACGAUCAGUAGCCGACCUGAGAGGGUGAUCGGCCACAUUGGAACUGAGACACGGUCCAAACUCCUACGGGAGGCAGCAGUGGGGAAUAUUGCACAAUGGGCGAAAGCCUGAUGCAGCAACGCCGCGUGAGCGAUGAAGGCCUUCGGGUCGUAAAGCUCUGUCCUCAAGGAAGAUAAUGACGGUACUUGAGGAGGAAGCCCCGGCUAACUACGUGCCAGCAGCCGCGGUAAUACGUAGGGGGCUAGCGUUAUCCGGAAUUACUGGGCGUAAAGGGUGCGUAGGUGGUUUCUUAAGUCAGAGGUGAAAGGCUACGGCUCAACCGUAGUAAGCCUUUGAAACUGGGAAACUUGAGUGCAGGAGAGGAGAGUGGAAUUCCUAGUGUAGCGGUGAAAUGCGUAGAUAUUAGGAGGAACACCAGUUGCGAAGGCGGCUCUCUGGACUGUAACUGACACUGAGGCACGAAAGCGUGGGGAGCAAACAGGAUUAGGUACCCUGGUAGUCCACGCCGUAAACGAUGAGUACUAGCUGUCGGAGGUUACCCCCUUCGGUGGCG
Molecule: ribosomal RNA, 792 nt
Filed under: uncultured bacterium
Lineage: Bacteria
Also listed under: 1 other name
Description: bacterial SSU rRNA
Rfam family: Bacterial small subunit ribosomal RNA
Source: RNAcentral